This 227-nucleotide ribosomal RNA is filed under the name uncultured bacterium. Its description in RNAcentral is "partial 16S ribosomal RNA". It matches the Rfam family "Bacterial small subunit ribosomal RNA", at positions 383 to 607 of the family's 1533-position model. The record is from RNAcentral.
CUGAACCAGCCAAGUAGCGUGAAGGAUGACUGCCCUAUGGGUUGUAAACUUCUUUUAUAAAGGAAUAAAGUCGGGUAUGCAUACCCGUUUGCAUGUACUUUAUGAAUAAGGAUCGGCUAACUCCGUGCCAGCAGCCGCGGUAAUACGGAGGAUCCGAGCGUUAUCCGGAUUUAUUGGGUUUAAAGGGAGCGUAGAUGGAUGGUUAAGUCAGUUGUGAAAGUUUGCGG